UACGAAGGGGGCUAGCGUUGCUCGGAAUCACUGGGCGUAAAGCGCACGUAGGCGGAUCUUUAAGUCAGGGGUGAAAUCCCAAGGCUCAACCUUGGAACUGCCUUUGAUACUGGGGAUCUCGAGUCCGGAAGAGGUUGGUGGAACUGCGAGUGUAGAGGUGAAAUUCGUAGAUAUUCGCAAGAACACCGGUGGCGAAGGCGGCCAACUGGACCAUUACUGACGCUGAGGCGCGAAGCGUG
This 239-nucleotide ribosomal RNA is filed under the name uncultured bacterium. Its description in RNAcentral is "partial 16S ribosomal RNA". It matches the Rfam family "Bacterial small subunit ribosomal RNA", at positions 524 to 763 of the family's 1533-position model. The record is from RNAcentral.